GAUGAACGCUGGCGGCGUGCCUAAUACAUGCAAGUCGAGCGAACGGACGAGAAGCUUGCUUCUCUGAUGUUAGCGGCGGACGGGUGAGUAACACGUGGAUAACCUACCUAUAAGACUGGGAUAACUUCGGGAAACCGGAGCUAAUACCGGAUAAUAUUUUGAACCGCAUGGUUCAAAAGUGAAAGACGGUCUUGCUGUCACUUAUAGAUGGAUCCGCGCUGCAUUAGCUAGUUGGUAAGGUAACGGCUUACCAAGGCAACGAUGCAUAACUGACCUGAGAGGGUGAUCGGCCACACUGGAACUGAGACACGGUCCAGACUCCUACGGGAGGCAGCAGUAGGGAAUCUUCCGCAAUGGGCGAAAGCCUGACGGAGCAACGCCGCGUGAGUGAUGAAGGUCUUCGGAUCGUAAAACUCUGUUAUUAGGGAAGAACAUAUGUGUAAGUAACUGUGCACAUCUUGACGGUACCUAAUCAGAAAGCCACGGCUAACUACGUG
This 497-nucleotide ribosomal RNA is filed under the name uncultured bacterium. Its description in RNAcentral is "partial 16S ribosomal RNA". It matches the Rfam family "Bacterial small subunit ribosomal RNA", at positions 28 to 507 of the family's 1533-position model. The record is from RNAcentral.